GCCCAGGUAGCUCAGUUGGUAGAGCAGAGGACUGAAAAUCCUCGUGUCGGUGGUUCGAAUCCGCCCCUGGGCACCA
This 76-nucleotide transfer RNA is filed under the name SAR116 cluster bacterium. RNAcentral describes it as "tRNA-Phe". It matches the Rfam family "tRNA". From Rfam's summary of the family: Transfer RNA (tRNA) molecules are approximately 80 nucleotides in length. Their secondary structure includes four short double-helical elements and three loops (D, anti-codon, and T loops). The record is from RNAcentral. Lineage: Bacteria; Pseudomonadati; Pseudomonadota; Alphaproteobacteria; Puniceispirillales (SeqCode).